RNAcentral lists this long non-coding RNA (852 nucleotides) under Monodelphis domestica (gray short-tailed opossum). RNAcentral's name for it is "lncRNA (ENSMODG00000041653.1)". Lineage: Eukaryota; Metazoa; Chordata; Mammalia; Didelphimorphia; Didelphidae. The record is from RNAcentral.
GAAUUUUUUUUUUUACUGUUUUGGGUUAAAUCUGCUGCUUUUCUAGGUAUGUAUGUGUGUGUUUAGUUUUAUACUUAAUUCAUUGUUGGCCUUCUCUUCUUCCUUCUUUUCCUGAGAUAAAAGUUGAAAGAUAAAUAUUCUUCAGUGGAUGAUUAGGAGAAGGAAGAAUUAUAGAAGAAUUAAAGAAGAAAUAUACAGUCUGCCAUAAAGAUAAGAUUAACAAUGGUAAAAGAGAAUGGUGACCAGGAAGGAGUCAGAGAGCCAAUAAGGUCUUGUGUCUCCUCCCAUACACCCAAGAAUGUGCAUCCAUUUGGUCCUCUCAGGAAACCAGAUGAAUUGAGGAACUGCAGAAAGACCAAAGAGAACCACCAGAUGGAGAUUCUGUUGGAAGCAUAGACAUAGAAGAAAAGGAGCCAGACGGAAAUAUGAAAGGGAAGGAGGAUUGGCACAGAUCCAUGAUAUGGAAUUGAGAUGAUGUAAGUCACUAGGGAAAUGAGGUCCCUCACUGACCAGAGAUUCGACUCAUUAAUAUUUUCAAAUACUUUCCCCUUAAGGGUGUGGGCAGGAUAGCAUAAUGCUGGAGAAUUGCUAUAUAUCUCUAAGGAAUCUGAGGCCUUAGGAGGGGUUUCAUUACUUCCUAGAAGGGCUAGAUUAUUUCCUUUUUCUGUGGGACCCUAUGUAGAGAUGUUGGGCAGUACUUUAAGUCAAAUGGAGUAUUUAGAUCCCAGGGGAAAGUGGAAGCCCACUGGAAAGAGGGAGGAAGCUAUUUUUGUUGUUUCUAUAAGUCCUUUGUAUUUUUGGUUAGGAUAAAUAUAGUUGUGACUUUUAAAGAAAAAUUGUUAGCUUGAGAUU